Molecule: ribosomal RNA, 467 nt
Filed under: uncultured bacterium
Lineage: Bacteria
Description: partial 16S ribosomal RNA
Rfam family: Bacterial small subunit ribosomal RNA
Source: RNAcentral
ACGAACGCUGGCGGCGUGCUUAACACAUGCAAGUCGAACGGAAAGGCCCUGCUUUUGUGGGGUGCUCGAGUGGCGAACGGGUGAGUAACACGUGAGUAACCUGCCCUUGACUUUGGGAUAACUUCAGGAAACUGGGGCUAAUACCGGAUAGGAGCUCCUGCUGCAUGGUGGGGGUUGGAAAGUUUCGGCGGUUGGGGAUGGACUCGCGGCUUAUCAGCUUGUUGGUGGGGUAGUGGCUUACCAAGGCUUUGACGGGUAGCCGGCCUGAGAGGGUGACCGGCCACAUUGGGACUGAGAUACGGCCCAGACUCCUACGGGAGGCAGCAGUGGGGAAUAUUGCACAAUGGGCGGAAGCCUGAUGCAGCAACGCCGCGUGCGGGAUGACGGCCUUCGGGUUGUAAACCGCUUUCGCCUGUGACGAAGCGUGAGUGACGGUAAUGGGUAAAGAAGCACCGGCUAACUACGAG